AUGGCGGAGACGAAUCUCUCUGGCAAGGUAGGCAGGGGCUCGGUUACCUGUGAGGAUGUCCAUGGCAGAAUUAGAGAGAGAGAGAGAGAGGGAGGAGAUGACGCCAAGGAGAAGGGAAAAAGGAGAGGGGCGCAAGGGAGAAGGCGCGGGGUCGGCCUGGAACCUGCUGUGGCCGACGAGGAUGCUGCUGGUCUCGAGCACAAGAGGAGGGAGGAGCUCGGGGAGGCUCAUCCCCUGAUGAAGAUGAGGCCAUGGCGACGCUGUCAAGGAGGCAACGAGCAAGGAGCACGGGCAGGGGAUCCAGGGGCGCGGUCCCGUUGGAGCUCGAGGGAGGCAGCUGUUCGAGGGGAUGGCUGCCUGCGGGUUGAAUCUGGCAGCGACGAGGGGGUGGGGGGGUUGGUCCGGUUGGAAAAAUCAAGGGGGGAUUUUUGGACUUGGAGAGAUCCCGAGGUGGGAGAUAGUGCGGCGGCGGUGGCAGGGACAAAUCCCCUAGAUUUUAGGGUUGGCUUGAUUGGAUAG
RNAcentral lists this ribosomal RNA (519 nucleotides) under Triticum aestivum (bread wheat). Its description in RNAcentral is "partial small subunit ribosomal RNA". The record is from RNAcentral. Lineage: Eukaryota; Viridiplantae; Streptophyta; Magnoliopsida; Poales; Poaceae.